UGCAACAAGUGUGCUCCAGCCACCAGUGUC
RNAcentral lists this non-coding RNA (30 nucleotides) under Homo sapiens (human). The record is from RNAcentral. Lineage: Eukaryota; Metazoa; Chordata; Mammalia; Primates; Hominidae.